This 488-nucleotide ribosomal RNA is filed under the name uncultured bacterium. RNAcentral's name for it is "partial 16S ribosomal RNA". It matches the Rfam family "Bacterial small subunit ribosomal RNA", at positions 28 to 507 of the family's 1533-position model. The record is from RNAcentral.
GAUGAACGCUAGCGGCAGGCCUAAUACAUGCGAGUCGGACGGGAUCCAUUGAUAGCUUGCUAUCAAUGGUGAGAGUGGCGCACGGGUGCGUAACGCGUGAGCAACCUGCCUCCAUCAGGGGGAUAGCCUCUCGAAAGAGAGAUUAACACCGCAUAAUAUCAACAGUUCGCAUGUUCAGUUGAUUAAAUAUUUAUAGGAUGGAGAUGGGCUCGCGUGACAUUAGCUAGUUGGUAGGGUAACGGCUUACCAAGGCGACGAUGUCUAGGGGCUCUGAGAGGAGAAUCCCCCACACUGGUACUGAGACACGGACCAGACUCCUACGGGAGGCAGCAGUAAGGAAUAUUGGUCAAUGGGCGGAAGCCUGAACCAGCCAUGCCGCGUGCAGGAUGACUGCCCUAUGGGUUGUAAACUGCUUUUGUCCAGGAAUAAACCUAAAUACGAGUAUUUAGCUGAAUGUACUGGAAGAAUAAGGAUCGGCUAACUCCGUG